CGAUCUUAAGAUUGACAAAUUUCGAAUGUUAUGCAAUAACUUGUAGAUUAAGAAGUCUGACAAGAAGUGUUGCACUUCGCUUCUUUAAAGUUAAUUGCUGCUAGAGGACCAUCUGUGUUGACAUCUGGGAAGUUAACAAAGAUUUGGUGCCUUAUAUACUGAAGGAAGCCAUUGGACGAAAUCCAUCUGACCUAUCCAAGAAUACAAGCAAUAGAAGAAUGGAAUCACACUUAGCAACGGCCCUGUGCGUCCUUGGAGCUGUCAAUCUUGUCAUUGCUAUUGUUUAUUGUAUCAUGGAUCGUCCUUGUUCUUCAGUCGUGCAGUUCGCAAUUGCCUUCAACUUGGUCAUUAUCUUUUU
This is a long non-coding RNA of Argiope bruennichi, 358 nucleotides long. RefSeq lists it as uncharacterized. The record is from RefSeq and is a predicted model, not a curated record. The transcript has 2 exons. Lineage: Eukaryota; Metazoa; Arthropoda; Arachnida; Araneae; Araneidae.